Molecule: ribosomal RNA, 254 nt
Filed under: uncultured prokaryote
Description: partial 16S ribosomal RNA
Rfam family: Bacterial small subunit ribosomal RNA
Source: RNAcentral
UACGGAGGAUGCAAGCGUUAUCCGGAUUCAUUGGGUUUAAAGGGUGCGUAGGCGGGCUAUUAAGUCAGUGGUGAAAUCCUGCAGCUUAACUGUAACAGUGCCGUUGAUACUGUUUGGCUAGGAUUUGGUUGUAGUGUGCGGAAUGUGUGGUGUAGCGGUGAAAUGCUUAGAUAUCACACAGAACACCGAUUGCGAAGGCAGCACACUAAGUCAUUAUUGACGCUGAGGCACGAAAGUGUGGGGAUCAAACAGGA